This 466-nucleotide ribosomal RNA is filed under the name uncultured Alphaproteobacteria bacterium. RNAcentral's name for it is "bacterial SSU rRNA". It matches the Rfam family "Bacterial small subunit ribosomal RNA", at positions 9 to 521 of the family's 1533-position model. Lineage: Bacteria; Pseudomonadati; Pseudomonadota; Alphaproteobacteria. The record is from RNAcentral.
GAGUUUGAUCUUGGCUCAGAACGAACGCUGGCGGCAUGCCUAACACAUGCAAGUCGAACGAGACCUUCGGGUCUAGUGGCGCACGGGUGCGUAACGCGUGGGAAUCUGCCCUUCGGUUCGGAAUAACAGUUAGAAAUGACUGCUAAUACCGGAUGAUGACUUCGGUCCAAAGAUUUAUCGCCGAGGGAUGAGCCCGCGUAGGAUUAGCUAGUUGGUGAGGCAAAGGCUCACCAAGGCGACGAUCCUUAGCUGGUCUGAGAGGAUGAUCAGCCACACUGGGACUGAGACACGGCCCAGACUCCUACGGGAGGCAGCAGUGGGGAAUAUUGGACAAUGGGCGAAAGCCUGAUCCAGCAAUGCCGCGUGAGUGAUGAAGGCCCUAGGGUUGUAAAGCUCUUUUACCCGGGAUGAUAAUGACAGUACCGGGAGAAUAAGCCCCGGCUAACUCCGUGCCAGCAGCCGCCGU